AAAAAAACAACAACGAGUCAAAAUCAGGGAAACACAGAAUUGACACUGAACCCAGACCCUGAAUAUGCAGCAAUAGACAACAUCAAGAGAGACCCCCCAGGGCAGGCCUCUGAGGAGCCUGGUGCUGAUGUCACCUACAGCUCCAUUGUCCUGUCAGAUCCAGAGGUGUCCUCUAGAUGUUCUUCACACCGUCCUGCUGUAACCCCAGCCAGCGAUGUGGUCUACAGCUCAGUCGCCCUGAAGCACAGAGAGUAGGGGGCAGCAACACAGAGAGGCUCCUCAACAUGUGGGGAGCUGCUGCUCAGGAUGAGAGCUGUGAGGGACACACAGAUACUGCAGUGAUGGG
Paramormyrops kingsleyae is the source of this 346-nucleotide non-coding RNA. NCBI's taxonomy places the organism in Eukaryota, Metazoa, Chordata, Actinopteri, Osteoglossiformes, Mormyridae. The record is from RefSeq and is a predicted model, not a curated record.